UCAGGCCUAACACAUGCAAGUCGAACGAACCCUUCGGGGUUAGUGGCGCACGGGUGCGUAACGCGUGGGAAUCUGCCCUUUGCUUCGGAAUAACAGUUAGAAAUGACUGCUAAUACCGGAUGAUGUCUUCGGACCAAAGAUUUAUCGGCAAGGGAUGAGCCCGCGUAGGAUUAGGUAGUUGGUGGGGUAAAGGCCUACCAAGCCGACGAUCCUUAGCUGGUCUGAGAGGAUGAUCAGCCACACUGGGACUGAGACACGGCCCAGACUCCUACGGGAGGCAGCAGUGGGGAAUAUUGGACAAUGGGCGCAAGCCUGAUCCAGCAAUGCCGCGUGAGUGAAGAGAGGCCUUCGGGUCGUAAAGCUCUUUUACCAGGGAUGAUA
RNAcentral lists this ribosomal RNA (381 nucleotides) under uncultured bacterium. Its description in RNAcentral is "bacterial SSU rRNA". It matches the Rfam family "Bacterial small subunit ribosomal RNA", at positions 42 to 450 of the family's 1533-position model. The record is from RNAcentral.